This 1157-nucleotide long non-coding RNA is filed under the name Sarcophilus harrisii (Tasmanian devil). RNAcentral describes it as "lncRNA (ENSSHAG00000024839.1)". The record is from RNAcentral. Lineage: Eukaryota; Metazoa; Chordata; Mammalia; Dasyuromorphia; Dasyuridae.
UCUAUGUGAAACAUGUUCACUUCUUCUCCCUGAAGGUUUUUAAUCAGGGAAGCGUCGUAGGCUGGCCUGUGCAUUAGGAAGCUUAUUUGGACCACUUUAGGAUGAAUAAAUGACUACCAAUUCAUUGGCAGAGGUAGAGUGAUUGUAAGGGAAGGAACAUUGGAUUUGGAAUAAGAAGACUUAAAAGUGUCAUUCAUUCCACUCAUUACUAGUCAGUCAGUCUCUCUCUCAGGGGGUGGGGGAAAAUGGGGGGGAGGGAACAGAGAUGAUGAAAAUCAUUGUUAGGGCUGUGAUGGAAGAAGCACUGCAUGAUAUUAAGAGUUUUGGGGUUUGUUUUGUUUUGUGCUCUGAGUCCCAGCUGAUGGAAGAAGCACUCCAUGUUAUUAAGAGUUUGGGGGUUUGUUUUGUGCUCUGAGUCCCAGCCUACCUCCUGAGCUGCAGCUAGUCUGAGGACCUGGGUCUGAAUGCUCAUUUGAAACACUCAUGUGACCUCUGUGCCUCAGUUUCCUCAUUUGCAAAACCAGGGAAUUGGAUUAGCUCAUCUCUAAAGGCCUUAAAUCCAUGAUCCUAUGAUAAGAGAAGGGCAGAGCCUGUAGCACAAACUUGGAACCAACAUCCAGAGUUCCCUCAUGAAUGUCCCAAUUGCAUUUCACAGAAAUCUCAUAUAAUCCUCUGGAACUCUUUCCCAGUUCCAAUUAUGUCCAGCAGGUGGCGUCCACCUUCUCUGCUGUUCCCGGCCGCCGGCUCUGAGGCCCAGAAGGCCGGGACGUAAAUAGUACGUGGGCCCGGGGCGUUCAACAGAGCGAACGUGGGCUCGGGGCGUUCCAUAGACUGUACGUGGGCCCGGGGCGUCCCACAGAGCGAACGCGGGCCCGGGGCGUCCCACAGAGCGAACGCGGGCUCGGGGCGUUCCAUAGACAGUGCGUGGGCCCGGGGCGUCCCACGGACCGAACGUGGGCCCGGGGCGUUCCAUAGACUGUACGUGGGCCCGGGACGUCACGGACAGUGCGCGGGCCACGGACAGUGCGCGGGCCCGGGGCGUCCCACGGACCGUGCGUGGGCCACUGACAGUGCGCGGGCCACGGACAGUGCGCGGGCCCGGGGCGUCCCACGGACCGUGCGCGGGCCCGGGACGAUGCGCGGGCCGGACGUCCACA